This 23-nucleotide non-coding RNA is filed under the name Rattus norvegicus (Norway rat). Lineage: Eukaryota; Metazoa; Chordata; Mammalia; Rodentia; Muridae. The record is from RNAcentral.
CUAGACUCACCCAAGUGACUUUC